RNAcentral lists this long non-coding RNA (335 nucleotides) under Rattus norvegicus (Norway rat). RNAcentral's name for it is "long non-coding RNA NONRATT001373". The record is from RNAcentral. Lineage: Eukaryota; Metazoa; Chordata; Mammalia; Rodentia; Muridae.
CCACAUGAAUCUCAGGGUUUCUAUUUCAUGAAGAGACCCCGUGACUACAGCAACUCUUACAAAGCUUUGAAGCUGACAGAUCUGAUGGUGUUCUGACACUUCUGUCUGUGUAGCAUUCCAAGCGCUAACAACCAGAGAUCAAAAUAUUGGACAACUGUGAGAGAUAUCGAAGAUACCAGCCUGUGGUAUCAAAUGCUCAGCCAAUGUUUCAUUCUUUAUGUAAAAAAUAAAUGUAUCCAUGUCAUUAGCAUAGAGAUUUCUUUCAUCGUUAAUGAAUGGUGAAAUUAUAUCUCUAUCAAGGAAUUGUUUUGAAAUAAAUUUAUUUAUGAUUGGUG